This 253-nucleotide ribosomal RNA is filed under the name uncultured bacterium. Its description in RNAcentral is "partial 16S ribosomal RNA". It matches the Rfam family "Bacterial small subunit ribosomal RNA", at positions 524 to 776 of the family's 1533-position model. The record is from RNAcentral.
UACGUAGGGUGCGAGCGUUGUCCGGAAUUACUGGGCGUAAAGAGCUCGUAGGUGGUCUGUCGCGUUGUCCGUGAAAACUCACAACUCAAUUGUGGGCGUGCGGGCGAUACGGGCAGACUGGAGUACUGCAGGGGAGACUGGAAUUCCUGGUGUAGCGGUGGAAUGCGCAGAUAUCAGGAGGAACACCGGUGGCGAAGGCAGGUCUCUGGGCCACUACUGACGCUGAGAAGCGAAAGCAUGGGGAGCGAACAGG